RNAcentral lists this ribosomal RNA (253 nucleotides) under uncultured bacterium. Its description in RNAcentral is "partial 16S ribosomal RNA". It matches the Rfam family "Bacterial small subunit ribosomal RNA", at positions 524 to 776 of the family's 1533-position model. The record is from RNAcentral.
UACGGGGGGGGCAAGCGUUGUUCGGAAUUACUGGGCGUAAAGGGCUCGUAGGCGGCCAACUAAGUCGGAUGUGAAAUCCCCAAGCUUAACUUGGGAACUGCAUCCGAUACUGGAUGGCUUGAAUCCGGGAGAGGGAUGCAGAAUUCCAGGUGUAGCGGUGAAAUGCGUAGAUAUCAGGAGGAACACCUGUGGUGUAGACGGCUUUCUGGACCAUAGCUGACGCUGAGACACGAAAGCGUGGGUAGCAAACAGG